This 672-nucleotide ribosomal RNA is filed under the name Kiefferulus umbraticola. RNAcentral describes it as "partial 28S ribosomal RNA". It matches the Rfam family "Eukaryotic large subunit ribosomal RNA", at positions 386 to 954 of the family's 3401-position model. The record is from RNAcentral. Lineage: Eukaryota; Metazoa; Arthropoda; Insecta; Diptera; Chironomidae.
CGGGCUCAAACCUAAAGAACCUAAAUAUCUAAACGGAGAAAUUCAAUACUACCGUUAAAACGUAGUGUGCACUUUUCUCUUAGUAAGACGCCGUGAUCCAUUAGAAAUUGAUACAUACAAAAUGUAUAUUGGGUCAUCAAUAGGCCAGCAUGAAGUUUAUCGGAACAAAUGGCGCGAUCUUUUACGGUUGUGUGUAUUGUCUGGUAAGCAUGUUGUGUCCUGUAAUGACUGUCUGAUGGAUUUUAAAGAUAAUAUCAAUGAUGUCAAGGCAUCACUCAUUUCGAUGAGAAUUACGAUAAAUGUCUGAUCAACGGCGGUCAAAUUUGGGAUACCUUUUGGACCCGUCUUGAAACACGGACCAAGGAGUCUAUCUAGUAUGCGAGUAAAUGGAUAAUUAAUGAAAUCUAUUUGCGAAAUAAACUUGACUUUUAUGGGAAUACGAGAAUAAUAUUUAUAUUUUCUCUUCCAUCCCGGGGUAUUUUCAUCAACAUAUGCUUGCAUAUGGGAAAUAUACCAUGAGCACACUGGAUACGACCCGAAAGAUGGUGAACUAUGCCUGAUCAGGUCGAAGUCAGGGGAAACCCUGAUGGAGGACCGAAGCAGUUCUGACGUGCAAAUCGAUUGUCAGAAUUGGGCAUAGGGGCGAAAGACCAAUCCAACCAUCUAUACGGG